This is a non-coding RNA of Arabidopsis suecica, 126 nucleotides long. NCBI's taxonomy places the organism in Eukaryota, Viridiplantae, Streptophyta, Magnoliopsida, Brassicales, Brassicaceae. The record is from the annotation of a GenBank genome assembly.
UUUUGUGAUUUUAGCGAAUUAAUCACAAAACAUUCGGUAAGUACAUCACAACUCCGCAGUUAAAUGUACUGAACGAGAGUAGUACUAGAAUGGGUGACCUUCCGAAAAGUCUUCGUGUUGCAUCCC